GCCGAGGUAGCUCAGGUUUGGGAGAGCACGGCACUGAAAAUGCCGGUGUCGACAGUUCGAGUCUGUCCCUCGGCACC
RNAcentral lists this transfer RNA (77 nucleotides) under Dehalococcoidia bacterium. Its description in RNAcentral is "tRNA-Phe". It matches the Rfam family "tRNA". Rfam says of the family: Transfer RNA (tRNA) molecules are approximately 80 nucleotides in length. Their secondary structure includes four short double-helical elements and three loops (D, anti-codon, and T loops). The record is from RNAcentral. Lineage: Bacteria; Bacillati; Chloroflexota; Dehalococcoidia.